UGACUCAAACAAAUGAUCGCGGCUGCAAAGCCGAAAGGCUGCAGGUGAGGAAAGUCCGGGCUUCACAGGGCAGGGUGCCGGAUAACGUCCGGUGGAGGCGACUCCCAGGCUAGUGCAACAGAAAUAUACCGCCGCAUAAUGCGGUAAGGGUGGAAAGGCGAGGUAAGAGCUCACCGCUGUGCUGGUAACAGGACAGGCUCUGUAAACCCCACUCGAAGCAAGACCGAACAGAGAGCAAUGUGGCUGCCCGUCACGUUCUCGGGUAGGUCGCUUGAACCUGUUGGCAACAACAGGUCUAGAUAGAUGAUCAUUCACGACAUAACCCGGCUUAUCGUUUGAGUCCCCUU
Molecule: RNase P RNA, 347 nt
Filed under: Lachnospiraceae bacterium
Lineage: Bacteria; Bacillati; Bacillota; Clostridia; Lachnospirales; Lachnospiraceae
Description: RNase P RNA component class A
Rfam family: Bacterial RNase P class A
About the family: Ribonuclease P (RNase P) is a ubiquitous endoribonuclease, found in archaea, bacteria and eukarya as well as chloroplasts and mitochondria. Its best characterised activity is the generation of mature 5'-ends of tRNAs by cleaving the 5'-leader elements of precursor-tRNAs.
Source: RNAcentral